This 495-nucleotide ribosomal RNA is filed under the name uncultured bacterium. RNAcentral's name for it is "partial 16S ribosomal RNA". It matches the Rfam family "Bacterial small subunit ribosomal RNA", at positions 28 to 507 of the family's 1533-position model. The record is from RNAcentral.
GACGAACGCUGGCGGCGUGCCUAAUACAUGCAAGUAGAACGCUGAAGGAGGAGCUUGCUUCUCUGGAUGAGUUGCGAACGGGUGAGUAACGCGUAGGUAACCUGCCUGGUAGCGGGGGAUAACUAUUGGAAACGAUAGCUAAUACCGCAUAAGAGUAGAUGUUGCAUGACAUUUACUUAAAAGGUGCAAUUGCAUCACUACCAGAUGGACCUGCGUUGUAUUAGCUAGUUGGUGAGGUAACGGCUCACCAAGGCAACGAUACAUAGCCGACCUGAGAGGGUGAUCGGCCACACUGGGACUGAGACACGGCCCAGACUCCUACGGGAGGCAGCAGUAGGGAAUCUUCGGCAAUGGACGGAAGUCUGACCGAGCAACGCCGCGUGAGUGAAGAAGGUUUUCGGAUCGUAAAGCUCUGUUGUAAGAGAAAAACGAGUGUGAGAGUGGAAAGUUCACACUGUGACGGUAUCUUACCAGAAAGGGACGGCUAACUACGUG